Molecule: ribosomal RNA, 408 nt
Filed under: uncultured bacterium
Lineage: Bacteria
Description: bacterial SSU rRNA
Rfam family: Bacterial small subunit ribosomal RNA
Source: RNAcentral
UACUCUUGACAUCCUGCGAACUUUCCAGAGAUGGAUUGGUGCCUGCUUGCAGGAGCUUUCAUACAGGUGCUGCACGGCUGUCGUCAGCUCGUGUCGUGAGAUGUUGGGUUAAGUCCCGCAACGAGCGCAACCCUCGUCGUUAGUUGCUAACAGUUCGGCUGAGAACUCUAACGAGACUGCCUACGCAAGUAGGAGGAAGGUGAGGACGACGUCAAGUCAUCAUGGCCCUUACGACCAGGGCUACACACGUGCUACAAUGGGGUAUACAAAGAGCAGCAAUACGGUGACGUGGAGCGAAUCUCAAAAAUGCCUCCCAGUUCGGAUUGUAGUCUGCAACUAGACUACAUGAAGUUGGAAUCGCUAGUAAUCGUAGAUCAGCUAUGCUACGGUGAAUACGUUCCCGGGUCU